Zootermopsis nevadensis is the source of this 889-nucleotide non-coding RNA. Lineage: Eukaryota; Metazoa; Arthropoda; Insecta; Blattodea; Termopsidae. The record is from RefSeq and is a predicted model, not a curated record.
CCCCAUAAUUCUAGCCGCAGUUGGUGAUUUGCCACGGCUGUUUAAAUAAAAUUCUAUUCUAUUUAUUUUAUAAUUUUAUCUUCAGACCUGCCCAUCUCCAAUCUGAUGUCUGAAAAUACAUACGGUUUUAACGCCGAGUAAAAUGGUCUUGAAUCUGUAGGUUGUUACCUCAGGAAGACAUUUGUUCAAGGUCGUGGAGUUACUCCAUGUCCCUACAACACAGCGCACUGAGUCUCAUACGCAUCGCUGACGCAACAUUCAUGUAGUUGCCGACAGUUGCUUUCAGUGACCUAAGACGUCGCCCACGGUCUGUCUGCAAGAAUCGAAUGAAGUUGUUUGUAGUGUCUGUUAUGAGUGGAGUUGUGGAAAAUAAUCUGUUACAAGUUUGGUGUUCUUCGGUUACAAAAACCGUGCCAGUGUAUUUUUAUUUUAAUUUUUUGUAUUUACAAACUUAUUUUUUAAGCCUUCGUAACAAAUUUGUUCAUCACGUUGGAUAUGUUCUUAAAUAAACAAAGUACAAGUGGUGGUACUGCGUAAUCGUGUUCAUAGUUAUAAAGCACUCGAAAAAUAAUUUUUAGAUUGUACGGAUUUAUGGAGAUGACGGUGGUACUCCAUUAGGUCCUCCGUUGGGUUCAGAGAAGACAGCAAGUAAAUCCAAUCUGUACCGGUUAACUCAUCGGCUGAGAGACGAAGUAUCGUCGCCUGACCAAGCAGCGGGUAGCCAGCCAGGUGGUGACCUCUCUCGUCUCAAGAUGAAGACAGUUGAAGAGGGGCAACGGUUGUUACAAGGUAACACAGCAACGCCCGUCUGGUCUCAUCACACGAAACAUAGGACCCCAGCGAGCAGCAGGUUAUUCAGCGUUAACACGUCUGAUUUUUAAAUGAGACG